This 497-nucleotide ribosomal RNA is filed under the name uncultured bacterium. Its description in RNAcentral is "partial 16S ribosomal RNA". It matches the Rfam family "Bacterial small subunit ribosomal RNA", at positions 28 to 507 of the family's 1533-position model. The record is from RNAcentral.
GAUGAACGCUGGCGGCGUGCCUAAUACAUGCAAGUCGAGCGAACGGACGAGAAGCUUGCUUUUCUGAUGUUAGCGGCGGACGGGUGAGUAACACGUGGAUAACCUACCUAUAAGACUGGGAUAACUUCGGGAAACCGGAGCUAAUACCGGAUAAUAUUUUGAACCGCAUGGUUCAAAAGUGAAAGACGGUCUUGCUGUCACUUAUAGAUGGAUCCGCGCUGCAUUAGCUAGUUGGUAAGGUAACGGCUUACCAAGGCAACGAUGCAUAGCCGACCUGAGAGGGGGAUCGGCCACACUGGAACUGAGACACGGUCCAGACUCCUAAGGGAGGCAGCAGUAGGGAAUCUUCCGCAAUGGGCGAAAGCCUGACGGAGCAACGCCGCGUGAGUGAUGAAGGUAUUCGGAUCGUAAAACUCUGUUAUUAGGGAAGAACAUAUGUGUAAGUAACUGUGCACAUCUUGACGGUACCUAAUCAGAAAGCCACGGCUAACUACGUG